GGAUCGGUAGCUUAGUUGGUAGAGCGCCUGCUUUACACGCAGGAGGUCACAGGUUCAAGUCCUGUCCGGUCCACCA
RNAcentral lists this transfer RNA (76 nucleotides) under Elusimicrobiota bacterium. RNAcentral describes it as "Elusimicrobia bacterium tRNA-Val". It matches the Rfam family "tRNA". From Rfam's summary of the family: Transfer RNA (tRNA) molecules are approximately 80 nucleotides in length. RNAcentral also lists the same sequence under 3 other names. The record is from RNAcentral. Lineage: Bacteria; Pseudomonadati; Elusimicrobiota.